UACGUAGGUGGCAAGCGUUGUCCGGAUUUACUGGGCGUAAAGGGCGUGCAGGCGGUUUGUUAAGUGCAGAGUGAAAGCUCCCGGCUCAACUGGGAGAGGUCUUUGCAUACUGGCAAACUCGAGGGAGGCAGAGGAAAGUGGAAUUCCCGGUGUAGUGGUGAUAUGCGUAGAUAUCGGGAGGAACACCUGUGGCGAAGGCGGCUAUCUGGACGGUUUCUGACACUAAGACUCGAAAGCGUGGGGAGCAAACAGG
This 253-nucleotide ribosomal RNA is filed under the name uncultured bacterium. RNAcentral describes it as "partial 16S ribosomal RNA". It matches the Rfam family "Bacterial small subunit ribosomal RNA", at positions 524 to 776 of the family's 1533-position model. The record is from RNAcentral.